UGGGGAAUUUUGGACAAUGGGGGCAACCCUGAUCCAGCAAUGCCGCGUGAGUGAAGAAGGCCUUCGGGUUGUAAAGCUCUUUUGUCAGGGAAGAAACACCGGCUCUAACACAGUCCGGGAAUGACGGUACCUGAAGAAUAAGCACCGGCUAACUACGUGCCAGCAGCCGCGGUAAUACGUAGGGUGCAAGCGUUAAUCGGAAUUACUGGGCGUAAAGCGUGCGCAGGCGGUUAUACAAGACAGGCGUGAAAUCCCCGGGCUUAACCUGGGAAUGGCGCCUGUGACUGUAUAGCUAGAGUGUGUCAGAGGGGGGUAGAAUUCCACGUGUAGCAGUGAAAUGCGUAGAUAUGUGGAGGAAUACCAAUGGCGAAGGCAGCCCCCUGGGAUAACACUGACGCUCAUGCACGAAAGCGUGGGGAGCAAACAGGAUUAGAUACCCUGGUAGUCCACGCCCUAAACGAUGCUGACUAGUUGUUCGGGAUUUACAUCCUGAGUAACGUAGCUAACGCGUGAAGUCAGCCGCCUGGGGAGUACGGUCGCAAGAUUA
This 547-nucleotide ribosomal RNA is filed under the name uncultured bacterium. Its description in RNAcentral is "bacterial SSU rRNA". It matches the Rfam family "Bacterial small subunit ribosomal RNA", at positions 355 to 896 of the family's 1533-position model. The record is from RNAcentral. RNAcentral also lists the same sequence under 2 other names.